Molecule: long non-coding RNA, 544 nt
Filed under: Oncorhynchus kisutch (coho salmon)
Lineage: Eukaryota; Metazoa; Chordata; Actinopteri; Salmoniformes; Salmonidae
Description: lncRNA (ENSOKIG00005046020.1)
Source: RNAcentral
GUUGGAAGUGGAACUGACAGGAUGUGCAGGUGCAGAAGCGGGAGAUGGGGGCUUCCAGGCGGGUAACCUUAGAAUGUGGUGACAGCGGAUAAAAACGGAACAUAAGUUUACCAUUGCAUUUAUAAUGCAAAGUAGAAGGGAGACUUUCACUUGCUGAACGACAUGAGGUUGAUUAAAUCUGUGCAAGGCGCCUCAUAAAGCCACUUGGCAUACCCGAAACCGAAUGAAAUGAUAAGCAGCCGGAGUGCAACAGAUUACCGGUCUGGCUUAGGGGAUCAUGGCUACUCCAGAGAGACUCAGCGGCCUGCUGAGAUUCAGAAACUCCUUGUGGAAUUCCGGACCCUUUACCACGAGCGCCUUCGACGCAUUGACCAAUCGGAUGACAGCCGGGAGGAGGCUCUGCAGACUCUCGUCUGCUCAUUCUUUCAAACUGAGGGAAGAAUUACUUAACAGAAAGGGGAACCUUUGAUGUUGGCAGGACCCAUGUUGGUACUCUCAAGGAACCUAAUGCUGCUCCUCUCAUCUAUUAGUCACAGUAAGGACU